Long non-coding RNA from Heterocephalus glaber (naked mole-rat), 486 nucleotides. NCBI's taxonomy places the organism in Eukaryota, Metazoa, Chordata, Mammalia, Rodentia, Bathyergidae. The record is from Ensembl.
CGCCCAAAGGAGGAGUCAGGCCCAACCUCUAGAUGCCCAGCAGGGGGAAUCCAGGCCUCCCAAAGAUGCAGAGCAACUGGAACUCUUGGAUGUGGCUGCAAGAGUAGACCUGGUCCAACCACUCCGGAAAACCAGGUGGCAGAGGGACAGAGCACAAGCCGGGGGCACCUGGGCACCGUAAGCCCCGCAGGCCACUGCCAAGCACCGGUGAGAUUAAGAUAAUUUAAUACUCUCCGCGAUUCACAGAACAGUGGAAAAGAGCUCUGUUCCCAACGAUUCCCAGCGCCAGCACCAGAGCAGGCAGCUCAUUCAUCUUUAUUAGGCGUGUUCCAGAAAAAGCCUGAGAGCGAGAUCACUCAAGUCACCCCAGGAUCCUCAGCCCACCCCAAGGCAGGAUGAGCAGCCAGCGCAGGCGAGAAGGAAAUUCAUGCAUUAUGGAUGAGGACUAUUUCUUAUUCAGCAGCCAAGACUGGCUCUUCUAUCAAA